GUGCCAGCAGCCGCGGUAAGACGAACCGUGCAAACGUUAUUCGGAAUCACUGGGCUUAAAGCGUGCGUAGGCGGCCAAGAAAGUUGGGUGUGAAAUCCCUCGGCUCAACCGAGGAAUUGCGCUCAAAACUACUUGGCUUGAGAGAGUUAGAGGUGAGCGGAACUAAUGGUGGAGCGGUGAAAUGCGUUGAUAUCAUUAGGAACACCGGUGGCGAAAGCGGCUCACUGGGGCUCUACUGACGCUGAGGCACGAAAGCUAGGGUAGCGAACGGGAUUAGAAACCCCCGUAGUCC
RNAcentral lists this ribosomal RNA (292 nucleotides) under uncultured bacterium. RNAcentral's name for it is "partial 16S ribosomal RNA". It matches the Rfam family "Bacterial small subunit ribosomal RNA", at positions 505 to 796 of the family's 1533-position model. The record is from RNAcentral.